This 730-nucleotide ribosomal RNA is filed under the name uncultured bacterium. Its description in RNAcentral is "bacterial SSU rRNA". It matches the Rfam family "Bacterial small subunit ribosomal RNA", at positions 72 to 798 of the family's 1533-position model. The record is from RNAcentral.
CACGGACUUCGGUCUGGUGGCGAGUGGCGAACGGGUGAGUAAUGUAUCGGAACGUGCCCAGUAGCGGGGGAUAACUACGCGAAAGCGUAGCUAAUACCGCAUACGCCCUACGGGGGAAAGCAGGGGAUCGUAAGACCUUGCACUAUUGGAGCGGCCGAUAUCGGAUUAGCUAGUUGGUGGGGUAACGGCUCACCAAGGCGACGAUCCGUAGCUGGUUUGAGAGGACGACCAGCCACACUGGGACUGAGACACGGCCCAGACUCCUACGGGAGGCAGCAGUGGGGAAUUUUGGACAAUGGGGGAAACCCUGAUCCAGCCAUCCCGCGUGUGCGAUGAAGGCCUUCGGGUUGUAAAGCACUUUUGGCAGGAAAGAAACGUCAUGGGUUAAUACCCCGUGAAACUGACGGUACCUGCAGAAUAAGCACCGGCUAACUACGUGCCAGCAGCCGCGGUAAUACGUAGGGUGCAAGCGUUAAUCGGAAUUACUGGGCGUAAAGCGUGCGCAGGCGGUUCGGAAAGAAAGAUGUGAAAUCCCAGAGCUUAACUUUGGAACUGCAUUUUUAACUACCGGGCUAGAGUGUGUCAGAGGGAGGUGGAAUUCCGCGUGUAGCAGUGAAAUGCGUAGAUAUGCGGAGGAACACCGAUGGCGAAGGCAGCCUCCUGGGAUAACACUGACGCUCAUGCACGAAAGCGUGGGGAGCAAACAGGACUAGAUACCCUGGUAGUCCAC